RNAcentral lists this long non-coding RNA (860 nucleotides) under Gallus gallus (chicken). RNAcentral's name for it is "long non-coding RNA NONGGAT005304". The record is from RNAcentral. Lineage: Eukaryota; Metazoa; Chordata; Aves; Galliformes; Phasianidae.
GAAAAAACAACGUCCAGGGCAGCGCGGCGGCGGGCAGCAUCGCAGCCGGCGGGGGGGCGAGAGGGGCCGCUCCGAAAUAGCCGUUCCGUGCGGGCGGAGCACCACGCGGCCCUCCGGAUGGAUCUUCCCGUUUUUGCCCCGCGUCCCCUUCGCGCCGCUCCGCUCCGCUCCGCGCGUGUCCCCGCUCCGCCCGCUGCGCCCCGGCCGCCUCCCGGCGCCGCCGCCGUGACUGACAGCGCCGCAGCACCGCGCGGAUCCCUGCGCGCCGCUCUCUGGAGCGGGCGGGCACCGCCGUGUCCUUCCGCCCGCGCCCGCCUCAAAUAGGCCGCGCCGGUGGGCGCUGGCGGCCGUCCGCAAAACGCGGCGCGGAGCGGAGCGGCUGCGGGGUGUGCUUCGUAGGGGGGGAAAUGCGCGGAGCUGACCGCUGUCAAAACGUGCAGAGUAACACGGUUCAGUUGCUCAAUGACCAUUUCCAUCAUUAAUGCUGUGUGAGCAGACAGUUCUGCGUGUAAGGACUCCUCGUGACACUUAAACAGAACACUGAUGAGGAAAAACUGUUCGGGCAACAAAUAGAAUCGUGAAAUUAUUCAGAUGUUUCAAUUUGGAAAGGAGAAAGGCUGUGUGCUGCUCAGAACCACAGACAGAGGCGGGUUGUGAAGAUAUCAUCAGGAUGAAUCGCCUGUUCUUCCACGCUCUUCCCAUGCCAUCAGUAGUGGCUGCUUUAAUCAGGAGCAUUCUAAUUAGCCAGGACAUCACCCGGUGCGUCUCAGUGAUGGCAGUGUAGCCAUCACUACCACCUAACUGUUUGAGCACAGCAGCCAUCCUAGCUGUGUCGUUACUUAUGCUGACAUUAAUUGGAG